This 29-nucleotide small RNA is filed under the name Bombyx mori (domestic silkworm). Its description in RNAcentral is "ovarian small RNA-15967". Lineage: Eukaryota; Metazoa; Arthropoda; Insecta; Lepidoptera; Bombycidae. The record is from RNAcentral.
GAGGUGGUGAACCGCACUACGACGACGGA